AAAACUGAGUUAGCCUCACUGCUGGUAAUACAAGGGUCUUCCUUGUACCUGUAUUGACUUCCCAAGAGCUGUCGGGGGUGUAAAUGCAGAUUUAGAGAUAAAAAUAUCUUUGAAGUACUAUAAUGGCAGUAUAUGAUGCUCUGAUAUUUGUUUUUUUCAAGGCCUCACUGACAAGGAGCCCGUCAGACCCAGAGAAUAACAACGUCGACAAUGACAGGUGCUCACAAGAAAACAACARGAAGCCUGAGGAACAGUCCACGAUAUCGUAUGAUUACUCUGAGGAGGAGCUCAUGGCAAGUAUUGAGCGAGAGUAUGGCCACUGAAUGUGAUCCCACGUGAUGAGAACAUCAAGCAUGGAGCAAAACUGCUACUAACAAAACGACCCCUCAUGCAGUGAGACAGCAUGAAAGAGGUGGAAAAGGCAAGUAAAGAACAAGAUGCCAUGCGACUGCUUAGAAMGCUUGGAAGAGCUCUUGAGGAAAGUCCCUCCGACCAAGUCUGGGUGAGAACAUGGAAAAUCCUCACCAGCUGCUGUGUCUGAUCAGUGCAGCUGGAAAAGGGACCAUGACAUCUUGUAAAUCAAUAUUUAAGAGCACAAUUCUAAAUGGCAUUUGCCUGUGAAGAUACACCAGAAUGUAAGUGUUGAGACAUGGUGCUUUGGGGGAAAACCUCUUUGUCUUAACAGAAAAAAAAAAAAACGUAGUGAAAUCAUUGAAUUAAAUUGAGAAUUGUGUAAAGGAAUGUUGCAUAAAAUUAAAGUUCCUAGCACUUAGGAAAGACAGGACAAAUUUGCUCCUUUUGCCAUGCAGGCCUCAGUUCCAGGUCUGAAUGURGCACUGUAUCUUUGAAAAGAGUUUCCAGUAUGGGAAAUAAAAGAAAAAAGGGAGCAAAUCUCCACUUUGAAAUGAAGGUAGGGUAAUUCAAGAGUUCAAAUCCCACUGCAUGGACAAAUGAGGUUCUGGAAAAUGAGCAGGGAGCCUAAGAUUUGUACAGAGAGCAGAUGAGCCCCGACUUCCUCACACCUACAGUCGAAGUCCAACAUCUUCAGGGGAGGAUCCUCACAGAGAUU
Molecule: long non-coding RNA, 1069 nt
Organism: Nothoprocta perdicaria
Lineage: Eukaryota; Metazoa; Chordata; Aves; Tinamiformes; Tinamidae
Exons: 2
Source: RefSeq, a predicted model, not a curated record